CGAGCGAGUCUGCCUUGAAGAUCGGAGUGCUUGCACUCUGUGAAACAAGAUCUCGGCUAGCGGCGGACGGGUGAGUAACACGUGGGUAACCUGCCCAAGAGAUCGGGAUAACACCUGGAAACAGAUGCUAAUACCGGAUAACAACAGAUGAUGCCUAUCAACUGUUUAAAAGAUGGUUCUGCUAUCACUCUUGGAUGGACCUGCGGUGCAUUAGCUAGUUGGUAGGGUAACGGUCUACCAAGGCGAUGAUGCAUAGCCGAGUUGAGAGACUGAUCGGCCACAUUGGGACUGAGACACGGCCCAAACUCCUACGGGAGGCAGCAGUAGGGAAUCUUCCACAAUGGACGCAAGUCUGAUGGAGCAACGCCGCGUGAGUGAAGAAGGGUUUCGGCUCGUAAAGCUCUGUUGUUGGUGAAGAAGGACAGGGGUAGUAACUGACCUUUGUUUGACGGUAAUCAAUUAGAAAGUCACGGCUAACUACGUGCCAGCAGCCGCGGUAAUACGUAGGUGGCAAGCGUUGCCCGGAUUUAUUGGGCGUAAAGCGAGUGCAGGCGGCUCGAUAAGUCUGAUGUGAAAGCCUUCGGCUCAACCGGAGAAUUGCAUCAGAAACUGUCGAGCUUGAGUACAGAAGAGGAGAGUGGAACUCCAUGUGUAGCGGUGAAAUGCGUAGAUAUAUGGAAGAACACCGGUGGCGAAGGCGGCUCUCUGGUCUGUUACUGACGCUGAGGCUCGAAAGCAUGGGUAGCGAACAGGAUUAGAUACCCUGGUAGUCCAUGCCGUAAACGAUGAGUGCUAAGUGUUGGGAGGUUUCCGCCUCUCAGUGCUGCAGCUAACGCAUUAAGCACUCCGCCUGGGGAGUACGACCGCAAGGUUGAAACUCAAAGGAAUUGACGGGGGCCCGCACAAGCGGUGGAGCAUGUGGUUUAAUUCGAAGCAACGCGAAGAACCUUACCAGGUCUUGACAUCCAUAGCCAGUCUAAGAGAUUAGAUGUUCCCUUCGGGGACUAUGAGACAGGUGGUGCAUGGCUGUCGUCAGCUCGUGUCGUGAGAUGUUGGGUUAAGUCCCGCAACGAGCGCAACCCUUGUCAUUAGUUGCCAGCAUUAAGUUGGGCACUCUAAUGAGACUGCCGGUGACAAACCGGAGGAAGGUGGGGAUGACGUCAAGUCAUCAUGCCCCUUAUGACCUGGGCUACACACGUGCUACAAUGGACGGUACAACGAGAAGCGACCCUGUGAAGGCAAGCGGAUCUCUGAAAGCCGUUCUCAGUUCGGAUUGCAGGCUGCAACUCGCCUGCAUGAAGCUGGAAUCGCUAGUAAUCGCAAAUCAGCACGUUGCGGUGAAUACGUUCCCGGGCCU
RNAcentral lists this ribosomal RNA (1357 nucleotides) under uncultured bacterium. RNAcentral's name for it is "bacterial SSU rRNA". It matches the Rfam family "Bacterial small subunit ribosomal RNA", at positions 63 to 1381 of the family's 1533-position model. The record is from RNAcentral.